UAAAUACAUCAUGAUUGCUUAAAAAAAUAAAAAUAAAAACAAUCUAUUUGAAUGAAUAACCAUUAUUUAUAACUAAAAUUUAUGUAUAUAUAUCUAGACAUUAUAUUUUUAAUGUAUUUUUACUGCUAACAAACAUAUUUUAAAUAAUUUAGUAAAAUCUAAAAUUUUUGUUCUGGUCGAUAUUAAUAUAGUUAUUUAAUUUUAACCAUGAAUACAAAUUUACAUAGAAAUUAUUUGUAUAAAUACUUAGUUUGAUGUUAUUUCAUUAAUGCAAUUAACUAUAUUAAUGAAUCAUUUAAAUACAUUUAAAUUAUAAAAACUUGUUUGAGUAUUUAACGUUAAUUAAAUGGUGCAAAAAAGAUAUUUUUUUAAAGAAAUAGCAAAGAAAAAUAAAUUAGAAUGUCAAAUAAAAGCAAGAAAAGAUUUUCUCAAGUCGAAAAUAUACAUUGAUCAUUUAGCGAAAUCGAAAAGAAAGGCUAUUCUUAAAAUCAAGAAACAAGAUAUAAUUGGGCCAACUUGGUACCAUGAACUAUCGAAUAACCAGUCGAAUAUAUAAAAACAAAGGCCCAAAAGUCAGUAAAUUAUUUAUCACCAUUUAUAAUGUCACCUGAAAUAUCUUUUAAAAAAUGGCUGAGCCAAAAAAAAUAGAUGCAGUCAAUUUACGUGUAAAGCAGAAAAAACAAAGAGAACGUCUGAAAAAUAAACAAAAUCACUAUAAAGAUACAAAAAUAAAUGAAAUGAAAUUUAAAUCCAAUGUUGACGAUUUUACUCAUCCGUUAGAUAAACUGUUUUACAAACCUGUCUUAAACAAGGCUUUUGAAACUGAAGCAAAAUUGCCCAAAGUUAUUUUGGAGAAAAAAAUUAAACUUUAUACUAACGAAAAAAAAAUACCAAUAAAAACUUCGAUUGAAACAAACAAACAAAAUUUCGAUUCAGAAGUUAAAGAUAACAUUAUCUUGAAAAUGAAAAUCAACGGAAUUAUUCUGACUCACUUAAUUCUUUCAUAAUUGGAAACUCUUCAUAUCACCUAUCAAGUUUAAGUGAUAUAAAUCACAAUGCCAGGUGUCUAAAAAACGUCCAAUAUGCUGCUCUAACCAAGUCAAGGAUAACAGAUGUUGAGUUUGAUGAAGUAGAAGAAGAGUUAGAUAUUGAGGAGGAGAUAGAAGACGAAGACUUUUCAUUUAUGAAUGACCAAGACACUAGUAGUGAGGACGAUAAUACGUUUUGUAAACAUGCCAAUGAAAAGCAAUUAGAUUAUUUAGUGGGUUAUAAAAUAGCACAUUAAAAUCGAACGUCUUUCAUUGGUAAUAUUUUGAAAGGUCAAUCAAAAUCAGAAGCUAUGAUAAUACAUUAUUUCAAUAACCUAAAUAGUGUGUUGAUGGAUUCAAACCUCACAAAUUUAAGCCACCAUCAAGAAAAUAAAAAUAAUCAAGUGAAAACUCCGUUCACAUAUAUGACAAAAUAUUAAAUGAAAUUCGACAACUUUCACCUUGUACACAAUUAAAAGCUGUGCUAGAAUUUUUAUCCAUAAUAGGUGAUCCUAUAGCUGGGCUACCAAAACUAACGGAAUUAGAGUUAUUGAAAUGUUGGUAUCAAUCGAGUAUGUCUGACGGUAAUUAUCAUCUAACAAAAAAACAAAAAGAAAAAUUGCUAAAAAGCUCUAUGUUUAUGUGGUAUGCAUCUAGGCUAGAAACGCGAACUGCUCCUUUAAAACCAUUUUCUUACGGCGAUAAAAAUUGUGUCAUAAAACUUACAUGGGAUAAUAAGAAAACGGUUUUAAAAAGAAUAAAGGCUAUUAAAACUGAUUAUGAACGAAACAUUAGAGCUUUGUGUUUAAACAACGCUAAAAAUUUGUAUACUACGUUAAAAACUAUACAUUAUAAAAAUAAGCUAAAUCAAGAAUUCAAGAAAACGUUUUAUUGUUACUAUCCCGCUAAAGAAGAUGAUAUUAUUUUUGUAAAUGUUCCCCAAAUCACACUUAUAAAAAAGAAUAAAU
Daktulosphaira vitifoliae (grape phylloxera) is the source of this 1996-nucleotide long non-coding RNA. RefSeq lists it as uncharacterized. The record is from RefSeq and is a predicted model, not a curated record. The transcript is spliced from 8 exons. Lineage: Eukaryota; Metazoa; Arthropoda; Insecta; Hemiptera; Phylloxeridae.